This is a long non-coding RNA of Chenopodium quinoa (quinoa), 765 nucleotides long. RefSeq lists it as uncharacterized. Lineage: Eukaryota; Viridiplantae; Streptophyta; Magnoliopsida; Caryophyllales; Amaranthaceae. The record is from RefSeq and is a predicted model, not a curated record. The transcript has 3 exons.
AACAACAACAACAACCACAACAACAACAACCACCACAACUACAAUAAGGAAGCCUUAGUCCCAAAUGAUUUUGGGUUGGCUAACAUGCAUUCUCAGAGCAUAGCAAGACAAUUGAUUUGGUGUACUCUGGCUCCAUGACUUGAUGAUGCUGUUUAUCAUGUGUAGGAGUUGAUAUGUUUUCUAUUCUUUCAUUUUAAUGCGUGGGGGAAAGCAGAUGUUCAAGUGCAUUUCAACGUCAUGGCAUGUCCAAGCUAUUCAAUUCUGAGCACAUUAUUAUGUCAUGGAAUGGGAUUUAGGUUCAAUGCUCAUCUUGACAUGGUACAAAUACACUUGGAUGAGAAAUGAUCUUGCAAAGUUUAAUUCAAUUAACACUGUCUCUUCCUCACUUCACAUAUGAACGUUUCCUCAAAUGUCCAGUAAAAAAUGUGGGGGCAAGCUGAUGUUCAUUUGUACUUCAACCAUUCAACAUCAUGCCAUGUAGUCCAAGCUCUUCAAUCUGAGUACAUCAUUAUGUCUCUGCAUGGCGCUUAAGGUUCAGUGUUCAUCUUUACUUGGUACAGAUACAUUUGGUACUAUCUCUUCCUCACUGUGAACAUAUCUUGAAAGCAAGUGAUCUUAAAUUGUUUCCUGCACUUUUCUUUUAUUUAUUCUUGCUUAGAUAACAGCCGUACUUUUUAUGUUUUGUUAUUUUAUUUUAUUGUUCUCCAUCUUGUGAACACCUAUGAUGAAAGUGUGAGAAAGGAAGAUAGAGGAUAGUAGGGUAUC